Molecule: long non-coding RNA, 2748 nt
Organism: Sipha flava (yellow sugarcane aphid)
Lineage: Eukaryota; Metazoa; Arthropoda; Insecta; Hemiptera; Aphididae
Exons: 3
Source: RefSeq, a predicted model, not a curated record
GUUCAACGAAUCCGCCUCGCUUGCCGCUAUUCUUUAUCUCCUGGCACACGACGGUCGUCACCGCGCAAUGAGUUCAGUUCCAACCGGGAGUCGGAAAUCCACUGAGCCGCCCGGCCGGAAUGCCGAAAACGUAUUAUCAUCACGAUCGUCGGUCGGACGUUCUUUAUGCGCCAGACGGUUUUCCGGACUGACAAUCGAAUCGAUGCACAUGUACAAUAACGUUUUAUUGCACGACGCAGUAGUCACCGUCCGACGGCGAUUAAGUUAUCCGAUUGCACGAAUAUCUGAUUCGAAUGCUCAGCGUUAUGUACGUAUUAGACGUAAACUUUGUUAAAAACGAAUUGCGCGCGCGGAGGAGGAUCCGCACGAGGUCGAAAGAAAGGGUUUCACGGUGUUUUUUAAUUCCUCCGGAAGAUUGCUGCAGACAAUUUAUUGAUAUUACAGUUUUGGGAGCUUGCGUUUAAAUUAUUGUUAUUGGAGCGGAGCCGUCGGGCAAGUGUAUACACUUACACUGCGACUGUUACACUACGACGCGCUUAUAUAUGUACAACCGAUGGCGAGUGCGUGGGGGGGGGGGGAAGAAAAGAAAGAAAACGGAAUAAGAGAAACCAGCUCCUCGAGCUCGUCUUUACACAACAAUUGCGUAAACGGCAAGACGGUCGAGGAGCGUAUAUAUCUGUGUUUAACAAAGAGAAGGAAUAUAUACUAUUGUUUAAUUGCAUCACUGGCAAACGAGUCCCCCGGCGUAGGCAACACUUUUUAAAGAUAUGACUACAAUAAAAAUUCGUGGGUUUAGCGUCGGAUGAGCUUGGUUGGGCUCGUUUUUCGUGCAAAAAUAAUUGUAACGACCGCAAGCACUGGGCUGAUUAAGAUAAUAGCCGGGGGCAAAAAGUUUACACCCCGUGCCCCACCACCGCAACCGGCCGGCCGAGCCACCAACACCACCACCACCUCCGCCCGUGCCAAAUGAUUGUUAUAAUUAUUAUGCGCCGAUAAUCUCCGAGGAGGAACAACUGAGAGCCAACUCCUUAUAAUACGGAAGAGUGUAUAAGACCGCGCGAUCGUUAAUUACCGCUAGGCGGUUGUUAAAUGGCGCAUUAAAUACAUAUAACCGUUCUUCAGGCUAUACGACGCGCGGUACCGUUUGCCAGGGAGUUCUUGAAAAACAACGACCACCGGCGGGGGAGGGGAAAAAAAAUAAUAAUAAUAAAAACGAAUGCGUUUAUUUAUGGUUCGCCAGUACGUUAAUGUUAUCUACUUAACUGCCGUGUUUAAUACCGUGUUCGAUGAUGCGGUCGCGACGGACGGGAUUACGGCGAGGGGUUGCCGGCGGCGCUUUGAGACUUGAGUCGGGCGCGCCAGGAGCUUGCGUAACGCUCCGGAAAAACUCCCGUUCCGUUACCUGCGCCGUCGCAAACGACGUGUUGCAACAGCCGUUCCGAUUGUGUCCCGAUGUAUUUACGAUUCGAUUAAAAAAAUUCGCGGCAUCGUUAGGAUCGCAAUCCGACCGGGAAGCGUAAAACAAACACCAUCGAUUCACGAACAGACACAAUACACGUAUACACGACAUAAUACACGUACGCUGUAAUAUCGCGUACUUUACUUGUAUUACGGUGCUGCAGCUAACCCCAUCCCCCACCACAACUACCACCGUUACCUCGCGAAAAAUAUAUGCGUUAUUUCGUAACACUCGGUUUACGUAUGUGAUCGUAGGCGCAUCGACGGAUCGGCAUUUCGGCCGAAAACCCAAUUGAAUAAAACGCGCCAUCACGAUGACGUUGGAAUCAGAAAUGAAUCAGAAACAAUCGAUUCGUAACGUUAACGCGCAAAAAUGUUUUGUCUCACGAUCGAUUGUACUUUGCACACAUCUUAUGUAAUCGUUCAGAUAAAUUCAGAGUUUCAGCCGGGUGAAGAAAAAAAAAUGAACACGUAAUGUUUUACGUUUCUCGAGUUUUCGUACGCAAAAAAAUCGUGCCGUGUCAAACGGCAGUGCAACGAAUCGCGUAACUCUGUUUAGAUACGGUUUGUUUGCGAACAGUUUCUUUGCAAUUCGCACGUCCGUAUCGCUGGCCUGUCAAAACGUUACGUAUCGACGACAAGAAGACUACUGUAGCUGGUGUCAUUCGAGGUGAAAACGUUUGGCGCGAGCGGACACAAUUUCUGUCAAGUUUUAAAAUUCCGAUAAGUCGUCGUCGAUAACGGUGGACAUUAUAUGGAAACACUGUUGAUGAAAACUCGAACAAAGACAGAGUUCGUUUUGUAAUUAGGUGAAUUUUAAUUAAACAUUCCUGAACACGCUGAGGGUGAUGUGAAUGACGUCCGAAACGAUUGUCCGGAUCGAAGUUCGACGGUUACGUAAUUGAAAGUUUUCGGACGGACUGGAAAUCGUCGACAUGUCGUAGUGUGGAACACGAAUCGACGACUUGUAUUAUAGACAAUCGGUGGACACGAGCGAAGGGUCCGUCCAUUGAUUCGUGACUUAUUAUAAUUUAAAGUGCGGUGCCUCAUCUCUCGUAUUAUACCGUGCGUAAUGCAUUUAAUACCGGGUUCAAUCUAAUUAAAAACGAACGUGAUGAGUUGGGUCCGAUGUCAUUCCGGUAUGCAAUGUAAAAUUUUCUGUUGGAAAACGUUUUACCAUACAACAACAUAUAUCAAGAGACAAACAUAUUAAUGGAGUACAAUGAAAAGAACAAAUUGAAGAACAAAAAAAAAAUAUGUAUAUCUACAAAAACUUAUUGGGGAACAACA